UCUCCCCCCAACUUAACCAAUAUUAUGCUCAAAUUUCUUCAAAAGAUACGAAGUAAGACUCGAUUAAAAUACAAAAGAAAGCAAAAGCAAAAGCUGAAACUGGGUUGCAUCUCAAAAAGUGCUAAGUUUAUUAUCUUCAGCCAGAUCACAUUUAUUGACAGGUACUUCCACACAGAGCGAUCUAUUAUUCCUAAAAAAAAUGAAGAUC
This 208-nucleotide long non-coding RNA is filed under the name Elaeis guineensis (African oil palm). Its description in RNAcentral is "long non-coding RNA (EGUI_LNC025790)". The record is from RNAcentral. Lineage: Eukaryota; Viridiplantae; Streptophyta; Magnoliopsida; Arecales; Arecaceae.